RNAcentral lists this ribosomal RNA (164 nucleotides) under Thinopyrum intermedium. Its description in RNAcentral is "5.8S ribosomal RNA". It matches the Rfam family "5.8S ribosomal RNA". From Rfam's summary of the family: 5.8S ribosomal RNA (5.8S rRNA) is a component of the large subunit of the eukaryotic ribosome. It is transcribed by RNA polymerase I as part of the 45S precursor that also contains 18S and 28S rRNA. Functionally, it is thought that 5.8S rRNA may be involved in ribosome translocation. The record is from RNAcentral. Lineage: Eukaryota; Viridiplantae; Streptophyta; Magnoliopsida; Poales; Poaceae.
CACACGACUCUCGGCAACGGAUAUCUCGGCUCUCGCAUCGAUGAAGAACGUAGCGAAAUGCGAUACCUGGUGUGAAUUGCAGAAUCCCGCGAACCAUCGAGUCUUUGAACGCAAGUUGCGCUCGAGGCCACUCGGCCGAGGGCACGCCUGCCUGGGCGUCACGC